RNAcentral lists this long non-coding RNA (4139 nucleotides) under Pongo abelii (Sumatran orangutan). Its description in RNAcentral is "lincRNA". The record is from RNAcentral. Lineage: Eukaryota; Metazoa; Chordata; Mammalia; Primates; Hominidae.
CGAACACAGACGAGGCGUGUAAGAAAAUGAUGUUUUAAGAAAUAUGUUUUAUGCCAUAUCAUUUCUUUUACUGAAAGCAAUUGGACAAACAAACAAGGAAAGCCAAGGAAAAUGCGACCGGGACGUGGAAUCGGCCCAUCUGUGAGGGGAAGGAUCACACUUCCAGCUAAGAUAGAAAUAAAGCAUGCGUGCAUCGGCUCAUCUGUGAGAGGAAGGAUCACAGUCCCAGCUGAGAUAGAAAUAAAGCCACGCGUGCCUCUGUUUCUAUGCGUGGUAAAAUAAACAAGCAACACUUGGAGGAACUAUUGAUUCUGUUAUGAAAACACAGCCUGUUUGGUUUGCCAGAUCAUAGCCGUUAUUAAUGCAUUAUUAAUUCUAUAUAAGUGCCUGCUUGUCAGAUCCAUUAACCGGGGGAGUAAUUGCCGAGGGAGGGGAGUCAGAACGUGUGUCACGCUGCUCGCUCGGUCUAGGUGGAACGAAGCGGAGAGAAGCCAUGCAGAGCAAUGGAGGCAGCCGUGUAAGGCAGUGUCCGUUUCUGUCUGUGGCCAAAAUGGCCAGGGAUAUUUUUGGCCAAGCUGAUGAGACAGAGAUUGGAAGAGGAAAGUUUCAUACUGAUACUUCGGCUGGCUGGCUGCAGGGUAACCUGCAUUUUGGGCCAUUUUUGGUUAAAUGUAUGAAAGCAAACAUCCACAUAAAGGCUGAAAUGGUUUGUCAAUGGCCCAGAGGCUGUUCCCGGGAUCUUUUGAGCCCUGGGAACCUGGAGGUACCUGCAGAGCUGAGCAGAUUGCUUCCGUGUCAAGGAAACAAGCGGGACUUGUGAGAAGGGGCGGUUUGUGAGGCCCCGGCUGCAGGCACUGAAGGUCCUGCCACCCAGCGGCACGAGCCUGCCCUGCCUGCUUUAAGGAGGAGACAGGACUAUUGACUUGGUCUGAUUUGCCUGAACUUCUUGAGUUUCUCACUGCCUGUGGAUUCCAGUUGCUUUAACACGGGAAAUCGGACCUGCUGCAGGAGACCCUGCGCUGUCUUCAAAGACAGCACUGUUUCCACUAACGCAAGGAUACAGCGUGAUUGAAACAGUGCCCCACCCAUAGGGUGGCCGGCGGGUUGAACGUCGUGCUCUGUGCAAAAACGGGGUCUGGCCAUACCCAGUGCUAUGCACGUGUUUACCACCAUUGCCUCGCCCUUCUCCCAUCUCAUGUUAUCGGUCUAUAAAGUGGGUGUCAUGAAUGACCUCUGGUAUCUGCUGAGUGGGGGCAGUGUCUGGGUGAGGCCCGAGUAGUUGGAGGCUUUGGUUUUUGCAUAAUGGGACCCCCAUUUUCCACUUAACUCAAACCAAAGCAGAAUCAUGGAAGGCCUCAAUGCAGGCAGCCCUGAAGGCGCAAGAAAGUUUAUUUUGUUCCAAGGGCUCCUGGGAGCUGGGCGAUGGGUGACCACGCCAGGAAGCAUCUUGACUUGGGUACUUUGCAGAAUCUUCCUCCCAGGGUGCCUCGACUUGCUGCCGUGUGGCAGCUUUGAUUCCCAGCCCAGUAACAAACACGUCCAUGACGCUGUGGACUGACAGAGACCACAGAGCUGGUCAACGUGAGUAAUGGGGCCCGCGCCCCGGGGGACCUCCAAGGCUGGGGGCACGGGAGCAAGUGGGUUACUCAGGCCCACACUAACCGCACUUGUAACUUCUCUCCCUGAGUCAAGGCAAGUUUUUAUUCAAGCCAAUGUAACACAAUCUUGCCAAUGACUGGAAAAAUCACUAGCUUUGCAAAAAUUUAAAAGACUCAGAUAAUACUCAAAUUUGGAGUCCUAAUGAAGUAUGUAAACCUCAUGUCCACAGACUGUGUUACUGGAGCCAGAGGGGGAAGAUCCCUGAAUAAGCCACCUGGGGCCACCCACGGCUGCUCCUUGCGUGGGAGGUGACCACAUGCGGCCGCUUCUCUGGGGAACAGGACAGAAACUGGGGUAAGUUUGGCACAGCUGCAACAUCCAAGUCUGUGUUCAUUUAAAACUAACUGCCUUUGAUUGCAUUUGACAAAAACAUUGGUCCAUGAUUGAUUGGAAAUAAAACAAUGAGGGUUUGAGACCUGGGCUCCGACCUCCCUUCUGUUCUGGGCCCAUGUGAGGCCAGGGACGGCCCGGGCAGGUGUCAGCAGCAGGAGCGUUUUUCGGGGUCCUCAUGGAGAAUGUCUCUCCGCAGCUUCUCCUGGAACGUUGGCUCCGAGGCUCAGCAACCUCCUCACACCCCCUGGGUCCACACCUCGGACCCAUCUGCCCGCCUGGCCAGCCUGCCUCGUCGUCUCCCGCGGGCUCGUGCCUCAACAGGCAGCGUGUGGAUGCCACCGUCACCGUCACAGGAGAGGCAGGUCCACCCUGGAGCUGAUCCCCUGACGAGGAAAGGAAAACACAGAGAGGAGAAGGCACUCGCCUGAGGUACCCUGCCAGACGCUGGGGACGGGCUCACACGCAGCGGCCCAAAGCCUGCUGCCUCUCGGAGCAGCAGGGGUCUGGGACGGAUAUUGAGGCACAGGGCCUUGGAGGUGCCUGUGGAGCGGCUCAGCCAGUGGGGGGUUAGUCAGUAUUUUACAGGCAAAGCUGUGGAGCUGUGCUGGUGCCUCUGUGAAGAUGCUGAACAUCUCCAGGGACAAAUUGGAGCCUGAAGCCUCAAAGUUACUGACGAUGAAGGAAAGAAGCAAACAUUCAGGAGCCACAGUGCAAGCUGAGGACAAGAGAAAGAGUCCUGGCUUCUGGGGGGUGUAAAAGCCAGAGGAGCCGAGGCCCCGGCCCACACUCGGAAGCACCUGAGGCCCCGGCCCACGCUUGGAAACACUCUCGGGCUGGAGACAUUGGCUGCAGCUCCCCGCGCGGCCUGUCCCCUCCCACUCUCCAUUAAUCUUGCACCGACACCCUCUUUAUGCUGUUGGAAAAAUCGAAACGCCAGGAGGCGGGAGGCAGGGAGAAUCCCUCAUCAGCAACGUUUAUGGUAUUGACUUGCAUCUCAUUGACUAUGUCAACAAGCGCUUGGCAUCUACAUCUGGGAACAGCCUGUAAAAUUAGGAAAGCUAAGCGGCCAUUGAAAACCCAUCACUUCGGAUUCUCCAGCCACAUAACCCUGGACAGGAAGAUGAAAAGUACCUUCUUCCCGGCGCUCGGCCUCCAGCUCUGGGCCUGGUGAAGACGGGCACAAAACAGCAGCGGUUAAACACAAAGUGAAUAGAAUUAGUCACCACUCAGUCCUGGGGCCUCAGCUGGAAAUGACCUGCAGAAUUCAAUGGAGGAGGCCCUUCGGGAGACAAAGAAGGAUGGGGCGUCAUUGUGCGAGCUUUAACGCUGCACAAAGGACGAUCAGGAGGCGGCAAUGCAUGCGUGACCCGCGCCGGGCAGGGAGGGAGGCUCUCAAGAGGCCUCCGCGCCGGGCAGUGCCCUGUGUGCCUCUGGAAAUGAGGCAGAAUUUGUGGUGCCAUCGUGCCCAGUCUUCCUGCCAACAAAAGAGUGUAUCAGGUUGGAAGUGAGUUUUACAUUUCAUAGGAGAGUGGGGGUAUGGCGGGAGUCCCUUGGAAAUAGUGGAGUUUUGCUCCUGCACAAAAAUAAGUCCUGUUCUGAGGACAUGAGUGAGCCGAGCACGUCUGUGCUCUGUCUAGAGGAGCGGGGAGCCCUGGUCAGUCCAGGUGUCUCAUAGCCUCGUGGCUGGCUCUGUCCACAGGGUCCAUGAGCUGGAGGGGCAUGGAUAAAAAUGCUUUUCCCACGACAGAGCGCGUGUGGGGGGCUGACUCUGGUUUAUCUGUGAGCACAGAGGUAUGGCCUGCUCGCCGCACAGGAGGUGACCUCGCAGAAGGAACACUUCCGCCCUGAUCUGCUGUUUGCAGAGGACGAGGGCUGUCAUCCUGCUCCUCUGAGGUUGAGGCCUCAGCCAGCAAGGCGGCGGGGUCGAGCGGGGCUUCCGAGCCAGCCACACAGGGCUCACUGGAAGCUUUGUGCUUUGCUGACCCUGUGACCCGAACAGCCACCCACCUCUCUGAGCCCCAGCGUCCUCGUCUGUAAAGUGGGGUGGCAAUAGCUUCCUGUCACACGAGUGACAGACUCUCGUUUGUUAAGCACUGUCACGUGUGGGAAGCAACUUCCUUCUGGGUUGGGGGGGCUUCUCUUAUCCC